CUGACAGCCGUGAAAACUCCAGCCCUCAAUUUAUUUAUCUACAGAACAAAUAGAGUGGAAACAGUGGCAAACCCCAGCUUUCCACGUGGGUUUUCCACUGCCGGUCGCACCCCUGACCUGGGGAGACCUUCUCUGAGCGGGUGAGAAGGUUGCACAGUCUUCCAGUCCUGUUCAGACUCAACUUCU
Molecule: small RNA, 186 nt
Filed under: Calidris pygmaea (Spoon-billed sandpiper)
Lineage: Eukaryota; Metazoa; Chordata; Aves; Charadriiformes; Scolopacidae
Description: TUC338 (ENSCPGG00000017420.1)
Source: RNAcentral